UGUGCAGUUGGAGGAUGAAGCUGUAGAGUGAUCCAUCGGCAGAGUGCCCUGUCACAAUGCUGACACUCAAGCUGCUGACAACGCACG
Chelydra serpentina (North American snapping turtle) is the source of this 87-nucleotide small nucleolar RNA. Ensembl annotates it as small nucleolar RNA, C/D box 71. The record is from Ensembl. Lineage: Eukaryota; Metazoa; Chordata; Testudines; Chelydridae.